This 433-nucleotide ribosomal RNA is filed under the name uncultured bacterium. RNAcentral describes it as "partial 16S ribosomal RNA". It matches the Rfam family "Bacterial small subunit ribosomal RNA", at positions 29 to 507 of the family's 1533-position model. The record is from RNAcentral.
AACGAGCGCUGGCGGCAUGCCUAACACAUGCAAGUCGAACGAGACCUUCGGGUCUAGUGGCGCACGGGUGCGUAACGCGUGGGAACCUGCCCUUAGGUUCGGAAUAACUCCCCGAAAGGGGUGCUAAUACCGGAUAAUGUCUUCGGACCAAAGAUUUAUCGCCUUUGGAUGGGCCCGCGUUGGAUUAGCUAGUUGGUAGGGUAAAAGCCUACCAAGGCGACGAUCCAUAGCUGGUCUGAGAGGAUGAUCAGCCACACUGGGACUGAGACACGGCCCAGACCCCUACGGGAGGCAGCAGUGGGGAAUAUUGGACAAUGGGCGAAAGCCUGAUCCAGCAAUGCCGCGUGAGUGAUGAAGGCCUUAGGGUUGUAAAGCUCUUUUACCCGGGAUGAUAAUGACAGUACCGGGAGAAUAAGCUCCGGCUAACUCCGUG